UCCGCCGUAGUGUAAUGGCAGCACAACUGAUUUUGGUUCAGUUUGUCCAGGUUCGAGUCCUGGCGGCGGAGCAA
RNAcentral lists this transfer RNA (74 nucleotides) under Nocardia otitidiscaviarum. Its description in RNAcentral is "tRNA-Gln". It matches the Rfam family "tRNA". From Rfam's summary of the family: Transfer RNA (tRNA) molecules are approximately 80 nucleotides in length. Their secondary structure includes four short double-helical elements and three loops (D, anti-codon, and T loops). Further hydrogen bonds mediate the characteristic L-shaped molecular structure. tRNAs have two regions of fundamental functional importance: the anti-codon, which is responsible for specific mRNA codon recognition, and the 3' end, to which the tRNAs corresponding amino acid is attached (by aminoacyl-tRNA synthetases). tRNAs cope with the degeneracy of the genetic code in two manners: having more than one tRNA (with a specific anti-codon) for a particular amino acid; and 'wobble' base-pairing, i.e. permitting non-standard base-pairing at the 3rd anti-codon position. Lineage: Bacteria; Bacillati; Actinomycetota; Actinomycetes; Mycobacteriales; Nocardiaceae. The record is from RNAcentral.